AACGAACGCUGGCGGCAUGCCUAACACAUGCAAGUCGAACGAGACCUUCGGGUCUAGUGGCGCACGGGUGCGUAACGCGUGGGAACCUGCCCUUAGGUUCGGAAUAACUCCCCGAAAGGGGUGCUAAUACCGGAUAAUGUCUUCGGACCAAAGAUUUAUCGCCUUUGGAUGGGCCCGCGUUGGAUUAGCUAGUUGGUAGGGUAAAAGCCUACCAAGGCGACGAUCCAUAGCUGGUCUGAGAGGAUGAUCAGCCACACUGGGACUGAGACACGGCCCAGGCUCCUACGGGAGGCAGCAGUGGGGAAUAUUGGACAAUGGGCGAAAGCCUGAUCCAGCAAUGCCGCGUGAGUGAUGAAGGCCUUAGGGUUGUAAAGCUCUUUUACCCGGGAUGAUAAUGACAGUACCGGGAGAAUAAGCUCCGGCUAACUCCGUGC
Molecule: ribosomal RNA, 434 nt
Filed under: uncultured bacterium
Lineage: Bacteria
Description: partial 16S ribosomal RNA
Rfam family: Bacterial small subunit ribosomal RNA
Source: RNAcentral